This 72-nucleotide transfer RNA is filed under the name Klebsiella phage vB_KpnM_KB57. It matches the Rfam family "tRNA". Rfam says of the family: Transfer RNA (tRNA) molecules are approximately 80 nucleotides in length. RNAcentral also lists the same sequence under 1 other name. The record is from Rfam by way of RNAcentral. Lineage: Duplodnaviria; Heunggongvirae; Uroviricota; Caudoviricetes.
AGGAGAUUAGCCAAGCGGUUACGGCACUGGUCUUUGAUAUCAGCAUCGGUGGUUCGAAUCCACCAUCUCCUG